Molecule: non-coding RNA, 74 nt
Organism: Parelaphostrongylus tenuis
Lineage: Eukaryota; Metazoa; Nematoda; Chromadorea; Rhabditida; Metastrongylidae
Source: the annotation of a GenBank genome assembly
ACGUUAGUGGUACAAAGGAUAGAGCACGCACUUCCGGGCAAGGUGAAAUGUGGGUUCAAGCCUCAUCUGACGUA